UGAGUACAGUGGCGUACGGGUGAGUAACACGUGACUAACCUACCCUCGAGUGGGGAAUAACUUCGGGAAACCGAGGCUAAUACCGCAUAACAUCUUCGGAUCAAAUGCGCAAGCAGCUUGAGGAGGGGUCGCGGCCGAUUAGCUAGUUGGCGGGGUAAUGGCCCACCAAGGCGAUGAUCGGUAGCCGGCCUGAGAGGGCGCACGGCCACACUGGAACUGAAACACGGUCCAGACUCCUACGGGAGGCAGCAGUGGGGAAUUUUGCGCAAUGGGGGAAACCCUGACGCAGCAACGCCGCGUGGAGGAUGAAGCCCUUUGGGGCGUAAACUCCUUUCGAUCGGGACGAUGAUGACGGUACCGGAUGAAGAAGCACCGGCUAACUCUGUGCCAGCAGCCGCGGUAAUACAGAGGGUGCAAGCGUUAUUCGGAAUUACUGGGCGUAAAGCGCGUGCAGGCGGGCCGGCAAGUCUGAUGUGAAAGCCCCGGGCUUAACCCGGGAAGUGCAUUGGAAACUGCUGGUCUUGAGUUCUGGAGAGGAAGGGGGAAUUCCCGGUGUAGAGAUGAAAUUCGUAGAGAUCGGGAGGAAUACCAGUGGCGAAGGCGCCCUUCUGGACGGCAACUGACGCUGAGCCGCGAAAGCGUGGGGAGCAAACAGGAUUAGAUACCCUGGUAGUCCACGCUGUAAACGAUGAGC
Molecule: ribosomal RNA, 694 nt
Filed under: uncultured Geobacter sp.
Lineage: Bacteria; Pseudomonadati; Thermodesulfobacteriota; Desulfuromonadia; Geobacterales; Geobacteraceae
Description: bacterial SSU rRNA
Rfam family: Bacterial small subunit ribosomal RNA
Source: RNAcentral